RNAcentral lists this transfer RNA (86 nucleotides) under Granulimonas faecalis. Its description in RNAcentral is "tRNA-Leu". It matches the Rfam family "tRNA". Rfam says of the family: Transfer RNA (tRNA) molecules are approximately 80 nucleotides in length. The record is from RNAcentral. Lineage: Bacteria; Bacillati; Actinomycetota; Coriobacteriia; Coriobacteriales; Kribbibacteriaceae.
GCGGGUGUGGCGGAACUGGCAUACGCGCUGGAUUUAGGUUCCAGUGGACCCUGUCCAUGGAGGUUCGAGCCCUCUCGCCCGCACCA